GAUCAUGGCUCAGGAUGAACGCUAGCGACAGGCCUAACACAUGCAAGUCGAGGGGCAGCGGAGAGGUAGCAAUACCUUUGCCGGCGACCGGCGCACGGGUGAGUAACACGUAUGCAAUCCACCUGUAACAGGGGGAUAACCCGGAGAAAUCCGGACUAAUACCCCAUAAUAUGGGCUNUCCGCAUGGAGGGUUCAUUAAAGAGAGCAAUUUUGGUUACAGACGAGCAUGCGCUCCA
RNAcentral lists this ribosomal RNA (236 nucleotides) under uncultured bacterium. RNAcentral describes it as "partial 16S ribosomal RNA". It matches the Rfam family "Bacterial small subunit ribosomal RNA", at positions 15 to 240 of the family's 1533-position model. The record is from RNAcentral.